RNAcentral lists this ribosomal RNA (468 nucleotides) under uncultured bacterium. RNAcentral describes it as "partial 16S ribosomal RNA". It matches the Rfam family "Bacterial small subunit ribosomal RNA", at positions 28 to 507 of the family's 1533-position model. The record is from RNAcentral.
GACGAACGCUGGCGGCGUGCUUAACACAUGCAAGUCGAACGGAAAGGCCCUGCUUUUGUGCGGUGCUCGAGUGGCGAACGGGUGAGUUACACUUGAGUAACCUGUCCCUGACUUUGGGAUAUCCUCAUGCAACUUGGGCUCUUACCGCAUAGGAUCUCCUGCUGCAUGGUGGGCGUUGGAUAGUUUCGGUGGUUGGGGAUGGAAUCGCGGCGUAUCAGCUUGUUUGUUGGGUAGUGGCUUACCAAGGCUUUGAGGGGUAGCAGGCCUGGGAGGAUAACCGGACACACUAGGACUGAGAUACGACACAGCCCACAACGGUAGGCAACGGUGGAGAGUAGUACACAAGGGGCGGAAGCAAGAUGUAGCCAAGCAGCGUGCGGGAUGACGGGCUUCGGGUUGUGAACCGAUGUCGCCUGAGACGAGGCGAGAGUGACGGUAAUGGGUAAAGAAGCACCGGCUAACUACGUG